RNAcentral lists this microRNA (22 nucleotides) under Nematostella vectensis (starlet sea anemone). Its description in RNAcentral is "nve-miR-2041b-5p". The record is from miRBase by way of RNAcentral. Lineage: Eukaryota; Metazoa; Cnidaria; Anthozoa; Actiniaria; Edwardsiidae.
CAGGGGUAUUUUUCUCUAACGU